Molecule: ribosomal RNA, 468 nt
Filed under: uncultured bacterium
Lineage: Bacteria
Description: partial 16S ribosomal RNA
Rfam family: Bacterial small subunit ribosomal RNA
Source: RNAcentral
GAUGAACGCUGGCGGCGUGCUUAACACAUGCAAGUCGAACGGUGAAGGCGGAGCUUGCUCUGCUGGAUCAGUGGCGAACGGGUGAGUAACACGUGAGCAAUCUGCCCCUGACUCUGGGAUAAGCGCUGGAAACGGCGUCUAAUACUGGAUACGAGCUGCGAAGGCAUCUUCAGCAGCUGGAAAGAAUUUCGGUCAGGGAUGAGCUCGCGGCCUAUCAGCUUGUUGGUGAGGUAAUGGCUCACCAAGGCGUCGACGGGUAGCCGGCCUGAGAGGGUGACCGGCCACACUGGGACUGAGACACGGCCCAGACUCCUACGGGAGGUAGCAGUGGGGAAUAUUGCACAAUGGGCGAAAGCCUGAUGCAGCAACGCCGCGUGAGGGACGACGGCCUUCGGGUUGUAAACCUCUUUUAGCAGGGAAGAAGCGAAAGUGACGGUACCUGCAGAAAAAGCGCCGGCUAACUACGUG